RNAcentral lists this long non-coding RNA (423 nucleotides) under Homo sapiens (human). RNAcentral's name for it is "HSALNT0311925". The record is from RNAcentral. Lineage: Eukaryota; Metazoa; Chordata; Mammalia; Primates; Hominidae.
UGACACGUCCAGAAUGAGGGUGAGUUUCCCUACCAGCUCAACAAAAAUCCAAGAGCAUUGGCUUGGAUUGGCCUGACUCAUCCCAUCCUCGAACCAAUCCCGGGGGCUAGGGGAGUGGAGGAAGCCAACUGGUCAUGCGCUGUAGCCCCAGACUCGGACUACAAAACCCUGGACCAAACCAUCACCAGCUGUCUCCUGGACAUAGAACAGUUUUCAACUACUGUCCCCAAAUCUAUUCUUGCCCUCCUGGACCCUCUACUGUGCUGCAGCUAGUAUGAUCAGAAAAGACAGGGAAGAGUUACCAGUCCCCAGGAAAAGCUGUGGCUGUAGGAAAGGGCUCUCUGCCAGGAGCCCCUGAGUGGAAUCAAUGAAGGAGUAGGCCUGCAGUAGAAUGAAUGAAUGAAUGAAUGAAUAAAGAAUAAA